RNAcentral lists this transfer RNA (85 nucleotides) under Myriangium duriaei CBS 260.36. It matches the Rfam family "tRNA". Rfam says of the family: Transfer RNA (tRNA) molecules are approximately 80 nucleotides in length. Their secondary structure includes four short double-helical elements and three loops (D, anti-codon, and T loops). Lineage: Eukaryota; Fungi; Ascomycota; Dothideomycetes; Myriangiales; Myriangiaceae. The record is from Rfam by way of RNAcentral.
GGUUGUGUAGUGUAGCGGUUAUCACUCCGGAUUCUGAUUAUUGUCACGACUUCCGGCAACCCCGGUUCGAUUCCGGGCACGACCU